RNAcentral lists this ribosomal RNA (253 nucleotides) under uncultured bacterium. RNAcentral describes it as "partial 16S ribosomal RNA". It matches the Rfam family "Bacterial small subunit ribosomal RNA", at positions 524 to 776 of the family's 1533-position model. The record is from RNAcentral.
GACGAACCGUGCGAACGUUGUUCGGAAUCACUGGGCUUAAAGGGCGCGUAGGCGGGCCGGACGGUCCGGGGUGAAAUCCCCCCGCUCAACGGGGGAACGGCCUCGGAUACCGCCGGCCUCGAGGGGGGUAGGGGCGAGCGGAACGCUGGGUGGAGCGGUGAAAUGCGUUGAUAUCCAGCGGAACUCCGGUGGCGAAGGCGGCUCGCUGGACCUUCACUGACGCUGAGGCGCGAAAGCCAGGGGAGCGAACGGG